Nothobranchius furzeri (turquoise killifish) is the source of this 2977-nucleotide long non-coding RNA. The record is from Ensembl. Lineage: Eukaryota; Metazoa; Chordata; Actinopteri; Cyprinodontiformes; Nothobranchiidae.
AUGAGCACAUUUAAAUGGAUUUUUCUUCAUUUGCAUUCUCACGCGCCGCUUUUUGUCCCACAGAACUGUUCCAAAAUGGGCGACAGCAACCCAGUCAAUGAAGAAGUGGAGAACUUUAACAAGAAGAAGCUCAAGAAGACUAACACUCAAGAGAAAACCAGGCUCCCGACCAAGGAGGCCCUGAAUAGUCCGUCACCAAGGAGGCCCAGAAGCAGGCGCGGCCGGCAGCUUCACACCCGACCAGGAGAGCUCCGUCAGGUUGCACCGAGAGCAGGAGGAGCUUGUGUCAGGAGUCUGCAGCCUGUUUUAGCACUCGUUUACUUUAAAUUGAAGAGGAGAAGAAAGCCAUGAAAGAGACCAACUGAAACGCUUCUCCAGCCCUGCUGCAUUUACCGCUCGUCUUCCAAUCAGGAGUUCUGUCAUUCCGACCUGUUUUCCAUGUCGCCGUCGAAUGCUGUAUAAGAUGCCACUACGGGGAAAUAAUCCCAGUUAUAACGAUGCAAUGGGUGCAUUUCAUUGUGUUCAUUCUGUGGGCUUUAAUGUGGGUAGAUUGGUACUUGGAGUGUGGUAACAUCUAUAAAAAUUAUAAUGACUUACUCUCAGCAAAGCUUGCCUGUAAAUGGUGCCACUGAGAAAAUGUUGUGGAAAGAGAAGAUCAUAUUUUUGUUUUAAUAAAAUCAGCGUGUCAAAUGACUUUGUCUAUAUUCUUGUGUGGUCUGCUCUAGUCUAGUUUCAUGAAACAAUAAUUCUGUCUUAUUCAUGCAGGGUAAUGCAUAAAUACAUACAUACGUACCUGCAUUGUAUAUGCAUAAGUACAUGCAUACAUACAAAUGUACAUGCAUACAUUAUGUAUGUAUGUCUGCAUGUAUGUUUUUAAGUAUGCAGACAUACGUGCAGUUUAAGAUGAAGCUUCUAUUCAACCAAAACCCAUGCCUUCACAACAAGUCCAAGCCUACAGGGGGAAAAUAAGGAAUGCAUUGAGUAACAAAAAGAUCAAAUGUCAUAUUGUUAGCAAACGUUGAAGCCUAAAGUCAUAGUAAGUUUUGAGUGGCAUCCCAAGAAUGAGCUCUUUUGAAAGCUUGCAUCUCAUUGCACAGCAGCAGUCAUGUCUUUACUUGUGGUCGGGAAGCUUCGUAGAAACCUAUGCAGAAUGAGAUUUAGUGUCAAGCCCUACUUUUGUGGAAUGCUUAUGUUGAAGUAUGCUGUGUUUUUCCACACCGAGCCCGUUGAGACAUGCUUUGCACUGCAGCAUGCGUCUACUUGAUGGCAAAAUUAUUUCUCUUGCUGGCUUUAGUUAGAGUUGAGCUGCUCAGACGUACAGCAUCAAAACGAGCUCUUUAACAGAACAAUGGCUUUCAAGACUGAUUCUGAUUUAUUUCCCUAUGUUUGGAAAUCAGCUUGUAACUGAAAAACAAAAUGUUCCACCAGUGAUUAUCACAAGGAUAGUGUGCUUGUUGUUGGCUGUGUUUAAUUUAAUUAUCAGAAACACAUGAUCCCUGCCACUCACCAGGCAAGAUUUUACACAGUUCAGUCCCUCCUCGAGUUUAAUGCUGUCAACACAAAGUCAGCAUUUAAUUAGAAGCAGGUUUUACUUGAGCUGUACAUCACUGUUAUUAUGUAAAGUGCUAUGUGUCACAUCAGCUAUAUGAUUAGUUCAUAACCAAAAUUGUUUAAAAUGUUAUAAUUCAUCCUGAAUAACGUAGGAACUGUGAUCAUGGUCUGGAAAAGGAAAACCCACUACAGCUGACAAAAUAUGCCAAAGGUUGAGGUAUAAAAGAUUUUCGUACCCUCAUCACCCCUGAGCAACUUUUGCUAAAGUGUGUGUGUACACAAACCUUGUCAACAUGCUUGCUGUGCUGUUGACCUAGCAAAUAAGUUCCAAAAGCUAAAGUCAAUUUGUUUUAAAAGAGUGGAGGAAAUCAUCAAAUGAGCUUUUAUUACAGUGAUUUAGAAAAUAACUGAUUGUUGUGGAAAAGCUAAAAUGCAUGAGCAUUACUUUUCAGUGCAUGCAUGCAGAAGCUGUUGAGGAGGGGGGUAUCUUGUAAUUAUGAAAAAGAAUGCAGUGAAAUAUUUGAUUCAAAUAGUAGAAUAUGACUCAUUAAAUAGUUCAUCGUUUGCCCUUCUUUUAUUGUGUUUUGUGUAUUUUUUAGUGUGUUCUCUCAAAGCCUAUGCUCUGACUUUCAUGUUUUGUCUUUGUUAAAGCGUAAAAUACAAUAAAAUAAGAAACAAUUUGAUGUUUUGGGUGAAUUUUGAAUAUGGGAGAAACAGCGACACCCAGUGGUAACUGUGACACGAUAGUUUGUUGCAGUGUGACUUGUUGCCGUAGGGGGGCGCUAAAACACAGGAAACCCCGAAGGAAGAGGAGGCGGGCCGACAGCUCUGAUGCAGGUUCUCUUCACUCGGCUACAAGUCCCUCAUCAAGCUAGUUAGCCUUGCGACGUGCAGAACGGAGAGCGUUCCUGGUGAUGCGCUCAAUAUCAACAAAAGAGAAAAUGGAUUAGCUGUUUAGCAAUUUUAUUUUUCAUCUGUUUGGACAAUCAUUAAGAACCCGCUCACCGUUCCUGGGUGUAAAUUGGCGUCUACAUUCAUGCCGUCGCUGGUUCUCUGGAAAGGAGCAGUUUGAGCUCCGAGUGGCGGGCAGUCAGCGUCUCUGUGGGGACAACACGGCUCAGCCACCGGUACGGUUGGUUGUUGGUAGCCUGCUAGCAUUAGCAUUUAGAGACACAUUUACGUGACGGGAGUCAACACCGUCUGUUUCAUGAGUGUAGCAAAUGACUAACGAUGUGAGAUAACGACAGGCUGUAUGUGAAUAACGAGUUUAACUUCGAGCUAGCGUGGGAAACUGUGGUAAUAAAUAGGAAAUGCCAGCAUCACCGUGUCAGUUCAACUCAGAGCUGAUGUUUGCGUUGCUGGCCAACUUUUGCCCAGUUCACAAAAUCUUCUGGGACAUUUCUCUCUUGAACCCAGCGCAUAUUUG